Molecule: ribosomal RNA, 759 nt
Filed under: uncultured Aggregatibacter sp.
Lineage: Bacteria; Pseudomonadati; Pseudomonadota; Gammaproteobacteria; Pasteurellales; Pasteurellaceae
Description: bacterial SSU rRNA
Rfam family: Bacterial small subunit ribosomal RNA
Source: RNAcentral
AUUGAACGCUGGCGGCAGGCUUAACACAUGCAAGUCGAACGGUAACAGGAGAAAGCUUGCUUUCUUGCUGACGAGUGGCGGACGGGUGAGUAAUGCUUGGGAAUCUGGCUUAUGGAGGGGGAUAACGACGGGAAACUGUCGCUAAUACCGCGUAGAGUCGAGAGACGAAAGUGCGGGACCGCAAGGCCGCAUGCCAUAGGAUGAGCCCAAGUGGGAUUAGGUAGUUGGUGGGGUAAAGGCCUACCAAGCCGACGAUCUCUAGCUGGUCUGAGAGGAUGACCAGCCACACCGGGACUGAGACACGGCCCGGACUCCUACGGGAGGCAGCAGUGGGGAAUAUUGCGCAAUGGGGGCAACCCUGACGCAGCCAUGCCGCGUGAAUGAAGAAGGCCUUCGGGUUGUAAAGUUCUUUCGGUGUUGAGGAAGGUUGUUGUGUUAAUAGCACGACAAAUUGACGUUAAAUACAGAAGAAGCACCGGCUAACUCCGUGCCAGCAGCCGCGGUAAUACGGAGGGUGCGAGCGUUAAUCGGAAUAACUGGGCGUAAAGGGCACGCAGGCGGACUUUUAAGUGAGGUGUGAAAUCCCCGGGCUUAACCUGGGAAUUGCAUUUCAGACUGGGAGUCUAGAGUACUUUAGGGAGGGGUAGAAUUCCACGUGUAGCGGUGAAAUGCGUAGAGAUGUGGAGGAAUACCGAAGGCGAAGGCAGCCCCUUGGGAAUGUACUGACGCUCAUGUGCGAAAGCGUGGGGAGCAAACAGG